GAGAAGAACGCAGCGAAAUGCGAUAAGUAAUGUGAAUUGCAGAAUUCAGUGAAUCAUCGAAUCUUUGAACGCACCUUGCGCUCCUUGGUAUUCCGAGGAGCAUGCCUGUUUGAGUGUCAUGAAAUUCUCAACCUUUUCAGCUUUCUUUGUUGAUCAGGCUUGGAUGUGGGAGUAUGCGGGCUUCUCAGAAGUCGGCUCUCCUGAAAUGCAUUAGCGGGACCUUUGUUGCCUGGCUUUGGUGUGAUAAUUAUCUACGCCAUUGUAGUCAAGCAGCUUAAAAUGAGGUUUCAGCUUCUAACCGUCUCCCCUGAGACAACUUUUUGACAAUUUGACCUCAAAUCAGGUAGGACUACCCGCUGAACUUAAGCAUAUCAAUAAGCGGAGGA
This 386-nucleotide unclassified non-coding RNA is filed under the name soil metagenome. Its description in RNAcentral is "partial contains 5.8S ribosomal RNA, internal transcribed spacer 2, and large subunit ribosomal RNA". The stretch from base 3 to 119 matches the Rfam family "5.8S ribosomal RNA", at positions 38 to 154 of the family's 154-position model. The record is from RNAcentral.